Non-coding RNA from Drosophila kikkawai, 468 nucleotides. Lineage: Eukaryota; Metazoa; Arthropoda; Insecta; Diptera; Drosophilidae. The record is from RefSeq and is a predicted model, not a curated record.
UUUCAAAACGACAUAAUUUGUAGAACACGAGAUUGUCAGUUAAUUUUUUUUGUGGAUAAACGCUGAACAGGAAGCUAGAAAUGGCCAGGAAUAUUGUUUUUGGGGGAAUAAACACGGCGUGAAACGCCAAGUGGCCGGAAUUAUAUUUAAAUAAAUGCAUAAUCAUAUUUCAAUAGGGUGGCAACUCUACUUCUUCUGUGAUCGAUGAGCAAAUUAAUCGAUAAGGUCAAGUAGAGCGCCGACAUUUGAAAGGAGUAAAGCAACCAGCCACUUCCUACGAAUACUCUUGAAAUACGAAGGUAUGCUUACAUGUGAAUAAUCUGCCGUACAGCCCCAGGUGUGAAAUCUGUGACGUAAUACGCAAAAGCUCUGUGUGUGCUCAAUCUGAAGGCACAUAUAUUCUCGUUUAUUGUGUAUUAAUACAGUAAAUUCAUUUAGUAACAACUACUACGGCUGGUACGUGAAUAA